GCAGCUCAGUGGUACAUCAUCUGCUUUGCAUGCAGAAGGCCCCAAGUUCAAUUCCCAGCAUCUCCA
Non-coding RNA from Podarcis lilfordi (Lilford's wall lizard), 66 nucleotides. NCBI's taxonomy places the organism in Eukaryota, Metazoa, Chordata, Lepidosauria, Squamata, Lacertidae. The record is from the annotation of a GenBank genome assembly.